CCCUGUUGUGCGUGUUGCUGUUCAGUGCAAGGUGGCCUCUGAUCUUCCCAAGCUUGUUGAAGGUUUGAAGCGUCUGGCAAAGUCUGAUCCUAUGGUUCUCUGUACCAUUGAAGAGUCUGGUGAGCAUAUCAUUGCUGGAGCUGGAGAGCUUCACCUUGAAAUCUGUUUGAAGGAUCUGCAGGAUGACUUCAUGGGUGGUGCUGAAAUUAUUGUUUCCCCUCCUGUCGUCUCCUUCCGUGAGACUGUUCUGGAGAAGUCCUGCCGCACUGUCAUGAGCAAGUCCCCGAACAAGCACAACCGUCUUUACAUGGAAGCUCGCCCCUUGGAGGAGGGACUGGCUGAGGCCAUUGAUGACGGGCGCAUUGGCCCGCGUGACGAUCCUAAGGUGCGUUCCAAGAUCCUGUCUGAGGAGUUUGGCUGGGACAAGGAUCUUGCCAAGAAGAUUUGGUGCUUUGGACCUGAGACGACUGGACCCAACAUGGUCGUUGACAUGUGUAAGGGAGUGCAGUAUCUCAAUGAAAUCAAGGACUCUGUUGUGGCUGGGUUCCAGUGGGCGUCAAAGGAAGGCGCGUUGGCUGAGGAGAACAUGCGUGGCAUUUGCUUUGAGGUCUGUGAUGUUGUUCUCCACACUGAUGCUAUUCACAGGGGUGGUGGUCAGGUCAUUCCCACGGCCAGGAGGGUCAUUUAUGCUUCCCAGCUCACUGCCAAGCCAAGGCUGCUGGAGCCUGUGUACCUGGUUGAGAUCCAGGCCCUGGAGAAUGCACUUGGUGGCAUCUAUGGUGUUCUGAAUCAGAAGAGAGGGCACGUGUUCGAGGAGAUGCAGAGGCAAGGUACCCCGCUCUACAACAUCAAGGCCUACCUCCCUGUCAUCGAGUCCUUUGGGUUCUCAAGCACCCUGAGGGCCGCGACGUCCGGCCAGGCAUUCCCCCAGUGUGUGUUUGACCACUGGGACAUCAUGGCUUCUGAUCCUUUGGACCCUGGCACCCAGUCGGCGACGCUCGUCACGGACAUCCGCAAGAGGAAGGGCCUCAAGGAGCAGAUGACCCCUCUGUCCGAUUUCGAGGACAAGCUCUAAAUUUUUGGUGCUGUUAUCCCAUACCUGCUAUUGUGUUGUUAAAGAGAGCUGCACUAUUUUGUAUCGAUGAGUCUAUCUUACUGUCUUGCUGUUAAUGACCUAUUUGUCGUGAUACUGGGAACUAUGUUUUGAUGUCUGGUGAUGUAACGGAUGUUUUACUUAGAUUAUGUAUCUGUUGUCCACUGGUUCUUUUGCUCUUGUGCUUGAUCUUUAGAUUUGCCUGUUCACUAUUCUCGUUCGUUGG
This 1319-nucleotide long non-coding RNA is filed under the name Triticum aestivum (bread wheat). Its description in RNAcentral is "long non-coding RNA (TAES_LNC016816)". Lineage: Eukaryota; Viridiplantae; Streptophyta; Magnoliopsida; Poales; Poaceae. The record is from RNAcentral.